UACGAAGGCCCCGAGCGUUAUCCGGAUUUAUUGGGCGUAAAGCGUUCAAAGGUGGCUUGGUAAGUAUCUCGUCAAAUCUCACGGCUUAACCGUGAGGCCGCGGGGUAAACUGCCUGGCUUGAGGGCGGAAGAGGCAAGCGGAACUACCGGUGUAGUGGUAAAAUGCGUUCAUAUCGGUAGGAACACCAAAGGCGAAGGCAGCUUGCUGGUACGAUCCUGACACUAAAUAACGAAAGCGUGGGGAGCGAAUGGG
This 253-nucleotide ribosomal RNA is filed under the name uncultured bacterium. RNAcentral's name for it is "partial 16S ribosomal RNA". It matches the Rfam family "Bacterial small subunit ribosomal RNA", at positions 524 to 776 of the family's 1533-position model. The record is from RNAcentral.